RNAcentral lists this long non-coding RNA (514 nucleotides) under Homo sapiens (human). RNAcentral's name for it is "non-protein coding lnc-VOPP1-2:6". Lineage: Eukaryota; Metazoa; Chordata; Mammalia; Primates; Hominidae. The record is from RNAcentral.
CUUUGAUGCUGAGCUGAUUGUGAAGAAUAUGUUCACCAACCAGGACCGGAAUGGAGAUGGGAAGGUCACAGCUGAGGAAUUUAAACUCAAAGACCAGGAAGCCAAACAGGAUGAACUCUAAACCUGGCACGAACCAGAUGGUGCCAGGGAGUACGUGACACCAAGCCAACUGUGUGGCAGAACGUGCAGUGAGGGUGCAAGGGUCUUUCAGAAGUUGCAUCAUUAGCCAGUAGUAGAUGAGCUGCUGAGCAUCAACAAGGUGACAUUUUUCUGCUGCCCAUUUGUGUCCUGGAGACGGUGGUACCCUGAAGGCAGAGGCCAGCUGCUGCAAGACAGCAAUGACAGUCCACCUGCCGGCCUGAUUCCUGCAUCAUGGAAUAACCACAUGGCUACCUUCUAUCCUCUGUUCCCAAAUGGUGGUGGCACUUAUCCUGAAGUCAUCAAUGAUUUCCCUUUGAAACUACUUUAUUUUACUAAUUUAAACUAUUUUGUACUGAUGUAGCCCUGAGGUAGU